AUGUGGUGCCCCCCCCUGCCGGUGGACGGGUUUACUGCAGUGUGUGUGUGUGAUGCCGCCCCCUGCUGGUGGACGGGUUUACUGCAGUGUGUGUGUGGUGCCGCCCCCUGCUGGUGGACGGGUUUACUGCAGUGUGUGUGUGGUGCCGCCCCCUGCUGGUGGACGGGUUUACUGCAGUGUGUGUGUGUGGUGCCGCCCCCUGCUGGUGGACGGAUUUACUGCAGUGUGUGUGUGUGUGGUGCCGCCCCCUGUUGGUGGACGGAUUUACUGCAGUGUGUGUGUGUGUGUGGUGCCGCCCCCUGCUGGUGGACAGGUUUACUGCAGUGUGUGUGUGGUGCCGCCCUCUGCUGGUGGACGGGUUUACUACAGUGUGUGUGUGUGUGUGAUGCCGCCCCCUGCUGGUGGACGGGUUUACUGCAGUGUGUGUGUAUGUGUGUGUGUGUGUGUGUGUGGUGCCGCCCUCUGCUGGUGGACGGGUUUACUGCAGUGUGUGUGUGGUGCCGCCCCCUGCUGGUGGACGGGUUUACUGCAGUGUGUGUGUGUGGUGCCGCCCACUGCUGGUGGACGGAUUUACUGCAGUGUGUGUGUGUGUGGUGCCGCCCCCUGCUGGUGGACGGGUUUACUGCAGUGUGUGUGUGGUGCCGCCCUCUGCUGGUGGACGGGUUUACUGCAGUGUGUGUGUGUGUGUGUGUAGUGCCGCCCCCUGCUGGUGGACGGGUUUACUGCAGUGUGUGUGUGUGGUGCCGCCCUCUGCUGGUGGACGGGUUUACUGCAGUGUGUGUGUGGUGCCGCCCUCUGCUGGUGGACGGGUUUACUGCAGUGUGUGUGUGUGUGUGUGUAGUGCCGCCCCCUGCUGGUGGACGGGUUUACUGCAGUGUGUGUGUGUGUGUGAUGCCGCCCCCUGCUGGUGGACGGGUUUACUGCAGUGUGUGUGUGUGUGUGUGUGUGUGUGUGUGUGGUGCCGCCCUCUGCUGGUGGACGGGUUUACUGCAGUGUGUGUGUGUGUGUGUGGUGCCACCCUCUGCUGGUGGAUGGGUUUACUGCAGUGUGAGUGUGGUGCCGCCCCCUGCUAGUGGACGGGUUUACUGCAGUGUGUGUGUGUGUGUGAUGCUGCUCUCUGCUGGUAGACAGGUUUACUGCAGUGUGUGUGUGUGGUGCCGCCCCCUGCUGGUGGACGGGUUUACUGCAGUGUGUGUGUGUGUGUGUGUGUGUGUGUGUGGUGCCGCCCUCUGCUGGUGGACGGGUUUACUGCAGUGUGAGUGUGGUGCCGCCCCCUGCUAGUGGACGGGUUUACUGCAGUGUGUGUGUGUGUGUGUGUGAUGCUGCUCUCUGCUGGUAGAUAGGUUUACUGCAGUGUGUGUG
This 1362-nucleotide long non-coding RNA is filed under the name Sparus aurata (gilthead seabream). RNAcentral's name for it is "lncRNA (ENSSAUG00010021260.1)". Lineage: Eukaryota; Metazoa; Chordata; Actinopteri; Spariformes; Sparidae. The record is from RNAcentral.